CAGCAGCCGCGGGAAUACGAAGGGUGCAAGCGUUAAUCGGAAUUACUGGGCGUAAAGCGUGCGUAGGCGGUUUGUUAAGUCUGCUGUGAAAUCCCCGGGCUCAACCUGGGAAUGGCAGUGGAUACUGGCAAGCUAGAGUGUGUCAGAGGAUGGUGGAAUUCCCGGUGUAGCGGUGAAAUGCGUAGAGAUCGGGAGGAACAUCAGUGGCGAAGGCGGCCAUCUGGGACAACACUGACGCUGAGGCACGAAAGCGUGGGGAGCAAACAGGAUUAGAUACCCGCGUAGUCCCUGUCUCUUAUAC
RNAcentral lists this ribosomal RNA (301 nucleotides) under uncultured bacterium. Its description in RNAcentral is "partial 16S ribosomal RNA". It matches the Rfam family "Bacterial small subunit ribosomal RNA", at positions 509 to 807 of the family's 1533-position model. The record is from RNAcentral.